RNAcentral lists this non-coding RNA (190 nucleotides) under Maridesulfovibrio salexigens. Lineage: Bacteria; Pseudomonadati; Thermodesulfobacteriota; Desulfovibrionia; Desulfovibrionales; Desulfovibrionaceae. The record is from RNAcentral.
AUAUUGAAUUUGAUUUGUAUGCGCCCGCAGGAAACGGAAGACGGUGAGAAUCCGUCGCAGGCGCGCUGCUGUAACCGGGUAAAUCAAGAAGGAUAUGGUGUCGGCCCACUGUUGGAAAAACGGGAAGGAGCGGCACUGUGCGUCGAACAGGCCCGGAAGCCAGAAGACGUCCUGCAGGAGCAAGUGUCGG